GUUUCUGUAGUUAAAUAAUAAUAGUGGUUUUUCGAGCCAUUGAUCCUGGUUAGAGCCCUGGCAGAAAUU
This 69-nucleotide transfer RNA is filed under the name Trachinops taeniatus (eastern hulafish). Its description in RNAcentral is "tRNA-Glu". It matches the Rfam family "tRNA". Rfam says of the family: Transfer RNA (tRNA) molecules are approximately 80 nucleotides in length. Lineage: Eukaryota; Metazoa; Chordata; Actinopteri; Plesiopidae. The record is from RNAcentral.